Molecule: transfer RNA, 98 nt
Filed under: Elusimicrobia bacterium CG1_02_37_114
Lineage: Bacteria; Pseudomonadati; Elusimicrobiota
Also listed under: 2 other names
Description: tRNA-Ser
Rfam family: tRNA (bases 17-95)
About the family: Transfer RNA (tRNA) molecules are approximately 80 nucleotides in length. Their secondary structure includes four short double-helical elements and three loops (D, anti-codon, and T loops).
Source: RNAcentral
GCGGGACUAAACGCCGGGCGAGUUGGUUUAAGGCGUACGCCUGGAGAGCGUAUAUCCGUGAAAGCGGAUCAAGGGUUCGAAUCCCUUCCUCUCCGCCA